Molecule: ribosomal RNA, 459 nt
Filed under: uncultured bacterium
Lineage: Bacteria
Description: partial 16S ribosomal RNA
Rfam family: Bacterial small subunit ribosomal RNA
Source: RNAcentral
CCUACGGGUGGCAGCAGUGAGGAAUAUUGGUCAAUGGUCGGGAGACUGAACCAGCCAAGCCGCGUGAGGGAUGAAGGUACAGAGUAUCGUAAACCUCUUUUGUCAGGGAACAAAGGCGGGGACGUGUCCCCGGCUGCGUGUACCUGACGAAAAAGCAUCGGCUAACUCCGUGCCAGCAGCCGCGGUCAUACGGAGGAUGCGAGCGUUAUCCGGAUUCAUUGGGUUUAAAGGGUGCGCAGGCGGGCCUUUAAGCCGGCGGUGAAAUCGCGGGGCUCAACCCCGCCGCGCCGUCGGACAUGGGGGCCUUGAGUGCGGCGGAGGCAUGCGGAAUGCGCGGUGUAGCGGUGAAAUGCAUAGAUAUCGCGCAGAACCCCGAUUGCGAAGGCAGCGUGCCGAGCCGUCACUGACGCUGAGGCACGAAAGCGCGGGGAUCGAACAGGAUUAGAUACCCUAGUAGUC